GACGAGGGGUCCUAGCGUUGUUCGGAAUCACUGGGCGUAAAGCGUUCGUAGGCGGCUCUAUAAGUCGGGUGUGAAAUCCCACGGCUCAACCGUGGAAGUGCAUUCGAAACUGCAGAGCUUGAAUAUGGUAGAGGGUAGUAGAAUUCCUGGUGUAGUGGUGAAAUACGUAGAUAUCAGGAGGAAUACCAGUGGCGAAGGCGAUCAUCUGGGACUAACCUGACGCUGAGGAGCGAAAGCCAGGGGAGCAAACGGG
RNAcentral lists this ribosomal RNA (253 nucleotides) under uncultured bacterium. RNAcentral's name for it is "partial 16S ribosomal RNA". It matches the Rfam family "Bacterial small subunit ribosomal RNA", at positions 524 to 776 of the family's 1533-position model. The record is from RNAcentral.